GAUGAACGCUGACAGAAUGCUUAACACAUGCAAGUCUACUUGAACUUCGGUUCGGGUGGCGGACGGGUGAGUCACGCGUAAAGAACUUGCCUCACAGAUAGGGACAACAUUUGGAAACGAAUGCUAAUACCUGAUCUUAUGAUUCUAGGGCAUCCUAGAAUUAUGAAAGCUAUAUGCACUGUGGGAGAGCUUUGCGUCCCAUUAGCUAGUUGGAGAGGUAACGGCUCACCAAGGCGAUGAUGGGUAGCCGGCCUGAGAGGGUGAUCGGCCACAAGGGGACUGGGACACGGCCCUUACGCCUACGUGAGGCAGCGGUGAGGAAUAUUGGACAAUGGACCAAGAGUCUGAUCCAGCAAUUCUGUGUGCACGAUGAAGUUUUUCGGAAUGUAAAGUGCUUUCAGUUGGGAAGAAAAAAAUGACGGUACCAACAGAAGAAGUGACGGCUAAAUACGUG
RNAcentral lists this ribosomal RNA (454 nucleotides) under uncultured bacterium. Its description in RNAcentral is "partial 16S ribosomal RNA". It matches the Rfam family "Bacterial small subunit ribosomal RNA", at positions 28 to 507 of the family's 1533-position model. The record is from RNAcentral.